This 75-nucleotide transfer RNA is filed under the name Coriobacteriales bacterium. RNAcentral describes it as "tRNA-Glu". It matches the Rfam family "tRNA". Rfam says of the family: Transfer RNA (tRNA) molecules are approximately 80 nucleotides in length. Their secondary structure includes four short double-helical elements and three loops (D, anti-codon, and T loops). Further hydrogen bonds mediate the characteristic L-shaped molecular structure. tRNAs have two regions of fundamental functional importance: the anti-codon, which is responsible for specific mRNA codon recognition, and the 3' end, to which the tRNAs corresponding amino acid is attached (by aminoacyl-tRNA synthetases). tRNAs cope with the degeneracy of the genetic code in two manners: having more than one tRNA (with a specific anti-codon) for a particular amino acid; and 'wobble' base-pairing, i.e. permitting non-standard base-pairing at the 3rd anti-codon position. Lineage: Bacteria; Bacillati; Actinomycetota; Coriobacteriia; Coriobacteriales. The record is from RNAcentral.
GGUCCCGUGGUCUAGCGGUUAGGACGUCGCCCUUUCAAGGCGGAGAUACGAGUUCGAUUCUCGUCGGGACUACCA